RNAcentral lists this non-coding RNA (81 nucleotides) under human gut metagenome. Its description in RNAcentral is "S10-Clostridia ribosomal protein leader". It matches the Rfam family "S10-Clostridia ribosomal protein leader". The record is from RNAcentral.
UGAUAGCGAUGAAGCGUGAGGUUGCUGCCUAGAUGGCAGGUUUUCCGUGGAGCGAAUGUCAAGUUAGGAAACUGACGACAA